UCUUUGCAUCCGAUUUUUGGUGUUCCGAUCACGAGGUCUCGCGAUCGGAAUGAAAAGGGAAUCAGGUGAAAGUCCUGAACAGACCCGCUGCUGUAAGCUCCGCCUACGUGCUGAACAAAUAACCCAAUGCCACUGUCCCGAUCAGGGAUGGGAAGGCGUUCAGACACGGGAGUAAGUCAGAAGACCUGCCAGAAACGCAAGAACAAC
This 207-nucleotide non-coding RNA is filed under the name Proteiniphilum saccharofermentans. The record is from RNAcentral. Lineage: Bacteria; Pseudomonadati; Bacteroidota; Bacteroidia; Bacteroidales; Dysgonomonadaceae.